CCCAGACUCCUACGGGAGGCAGCAGUGGGGAAUAUUGCACAAUGGGGGGAACCCUGAUGCAGCGACGCCGCGUGGGUGAAGGAGCACCUCGGUGCGUAAAGCCCUCUCGGCAGGGAAGAAACAGACGGUACCUGACUAAGAAGCCCCGGCUAACUACGUGCCAGCAGCCGCGGUAAUACGUAGGGGGCAAGCGUUAUCCGGAUUUACUGGGCGUAAAGGGAGCGCAGGCGGCGCGCCAAGUCUGAUGUGAAACCCCGGGGCUCAACCCCGGGCAUGCAUUGGAAACUGGCGGGCUGGAGUUGGAGAGAAGUACGCGGAAUGCGCGGUGUAGCGGUGAAAUGCUUAGAUAUCGCGCAGAACCCCGAUUGCGAAGGCAGCGUACCGGCUCCACACUGACGCUGAGGCACGAAAGCGUGGGUAUCGAACAGGAUUAGAUACCCCUGUAA
RNAcentral lists this ribosomal RNA (446 nucleotides) under uncultured bacterium. Its description in RNAcentral is "partial 16S ribosomal RNA". It matches the Rfam family "Bacterial small subunit ribosomal RNA", at positions 330 to 793 of the family's 1533-position model. The record is from RNAcentral.